RNAcentral lists this unclassified non-coding RNA (324 nucleotides) under plant metagenome. RNAcentral describes it as "partial contains small subunit ribosomal RNA, internal transcribed spacer 1, and 5.8S ribosomal RNA". The record is from RNAcentral.
UUUCCGUAGGUGAACCUGCGGAAGGAUCAUUAUUGAAUAAACAGUGUGGGUUGUUGCUGGCCUUCUGGCAUGUGCACGCCUGCCAUAUGUUUCAUUCCCUUCUUUCCACCUGUGCACUAUGUGUAGGCUAUGUAUGCUGUAUUGUCAGGCCCUUCAUAAGGCUUGGUUUAGAGAGGAUGCUUGUCUUUAUGAGACAGGCUCAUCUUGGGCGUACAGGUCUAUGUUUUACACCAACACCAAAUGAAUGUCUUAGAAUGUAUUUUUUCAGACUCUUGCUAGCCUUUAAACCAUAUACAACUUUCAACAACGGAUCUCUUGGCUCUC